UACGGAGGUCUCAAGCGUUGUUCGGAUUCAUUGGGCGUAAAGGGUGCGUAGGUGGCGGGGUAAGUCAGGUGUGAAAUCUCGGGGCUCAACCCCGAAACUGCAUUUGAUACUGCCUUGCUCGAGUACUGGAGAGGAGAUUGGAAUUUACGGUGUAGCAGUGAAAUGCGUAGAUAUCGUAAGGAAGACCAGUGGCGAAGGCGAAUCUCUGGACAGUUACUGACACUGAGGCACGAAGGCCAGGGGAGCAAACGGG
RNAcentral lists this ribosomal RNA (253 nucleotides) under uncultured bacterium. Its description in RNAcentral is "partial 16S ribosomal RNA". It matches the Rfam family "Bacterial small subunit ribosomal RNA", at positions 524 to 776 of the family's 1533-position model. The record is from RNAcentral.